CUCUUGGUCAUUUAGAGGGAAGUAAAAGUCGUAACAAGGUUUCCGUAGGUGAACCUGCGGAAGGAUCAUUACCGAAUUGUCAAACGGGUUGUUGCUGGUCUUCAAACGGGGACAUGUGCACGCUCUGUUUACACAUCCACUCACACCUGUGCACCCUCCGUAGUUCUAUGGUCUGGGGGACCCUGUCUUCCUGCCAUGGUUCUACGUCUUUACACACACUCUGUAAUAAAGUCUUAUGGAAUGUAUGCCGCGUCUAACGCAAUACAAUACAACUUUCAGCAACGGAUCUCUUGGCUCUCGCAUCGAUGAAGAACGCAGCGAAAUGCGAUAAGNAAUGUGAAUUGCAGAAUUCAGUGAAUCAUCGAAUCUUUGAACGCACCUUGCGCCCCUUGGCUAUUCCGAGGGGCAUGCCUGUUUGAGUAUCAUGAACACCUCAACUCUCAUGGUUCGCCAUGAUGAGCUUGGACUCUGGGGGUUUUGCUGGCCCGCGGUCGGCUCCCCUCAAAUGAAUCAGCCUCCCAGUGUUUGGUGGCAUCACGGGUGUGAUAAAUAUCUACGCUCGCGGUUGUCUGCCAGGUAACCUUUGGUGACAAAGGUUUGCUGGAGCUCACAGAUGUCUCUCCUCGGUGAGGACAGCUUUUUUGAACGUUCGAUCUCAAAUCAGGUAGGACUACCCGCUGAACUUAAGCAUAUCAAUAAG
RNAcentral lists this ribosomal RNA (700 nucleotides) under uncultured Tomentella. RNAcentral's name for it is "eukaryotic LSU rRNA". The stretch from base 271 to 425 matches the Rfam family "5.8S ribosomal RNA". Lineage: Eukaryota; Fungi; Basidiomycota; Agaricomycetes; Thelephorales; Thelephoraceae. The record is from RNAcentral.